Pseudomassariella vexata is the source of this 134-nucleotide small nuclear RNA. It matches the Rfam family "U4 spliceosomal RNA". Rfam says of the family: U4 small nuclear RNA (U4 snRNA) is a component of the major U2-dependent spliceosome. The structure of U4 snRNA from yeast and human has been reported. The record is from Rfam. Lineage: Eukaryota; Fungi; Ascomycota; Sordariomycetes; Amphisphaeriales; Pseudomassariaceae.
CUCCCUAGGCACGGGCUUUACGCAUGUCAGUGAAGGUUCGCCUGAGACUGCGUUUUUGCUAGUUGAAAACUAUACAAUGACCGCUUCUGUUGAGCCUAGCUUGGCAGAGAAUUUUUGGCACUCAUCUCGCGAGA